This 471-nucleotide ribosomal RNA is filed under the name uncultured bacterium. Its description in RNAcentral is "partial 16S ribosomal RNA". It matches the Rfam family "Bacterial small subunit ribosomal RNA", at positions 29 to 523 of the family's 1533-position model. The record is from RNAcentral.
AACGAACGCUGGCGGUAUGCUUAACACAUGCAAGUCAAACGAACAAAAUUGGGGCUUGCUCCAAUUUUAGUGAGUGGCAAACGGGUGAGUAACACGUGGGAAUCUACCUAUCAGUACGGAAUAACAUUUGGAAACAGAUGCUAAUACCGUAUAUUCUCCAAGGAGGAAAGAUUUAUCGCUGAUAGAUGAGCCCGCGCAAGAUUAGGUAGUUGGUAGGGUAAUGGCCUACCGAGCCUACGAUCUUUAGCUGGUCUGAGAGGGCGACCGGCCACACUGGGACUGAGACACGGCCCAGACUCCUACGGGAGGCAGCAGUGGGGAAUAUUGCACAAUGGGCGAAAGCCUGAUGCAGCGACGCCGCGUGAGGGAUGAAGGUCUUCGGAUUGUAAACCUCUUUCAGUAGGGACGAAGCGAAAGUGACGGUACCUAAAGAAGAAGCACCGGCUAACUACGUGCCAGCCGCCGCAGUAA